AACGUAGGAGACGAGCGUUAUCCGGAUUUACUGGGCGUAAAGCGUGUGUAGGUGGUCUGGAAAGUUGGAUGUAAAAGCUCCUGGCUUAACUGGGAGAUGUCGUUCAAAACUACCGGACUAGAGGAUGGGAGAGGGAGGUGGAAUUCCGGGUGUAGUGGUGAAAUGCGUAGAUAUCCGGAGGAACACCAGUGGCGAAAGCGGCCUCCUGGUCCAUAACUGACACUCAGACACGAAAGCUAGGGGAGCGAACGGGAUUAGAGACCCCGGUAGUCCUAGCUGUAAACGAUGUAGACUUGGCGUCGGUGGGUUCAAAUCCAUCGGUGCCGAAGCAAACGCGAUAAGUCUACCGCCUGGGGAUUACGGCCGCAAGGUUAAA
Molecule: ribosomal RNA, 376 nt
Filed under: uncultured bacterium
Lineage: Bacteria
Description: bacterial SSU rRNA
Rfam family: Bacterial small subunit ribosomal RNA
Source: RNAcentral